This 479-nucleotide ribosomal RNA is filed under the name uncultured bacterium. RNAcentral's name for it is "bacterial SSU rRNA". It matches the Rfam family "Bacterial small subunit ribosomal RNA", at positions 32 to 521 of the family's 1533-position model. The record is from RNAcentral.
AAUCAACGCUGGCGGCGUGCCUCAGACAUGCAAGUCGAACGAUUAAAGCUCUCUUCGGAGAGUGUAUAGAGUGGCGCACGGGUGAGUAACACGUAAGUAAUCUACCUUUGAGUGGGGAAUAACCCGGGGAACCCGAGCUAAUACCGCAUAAUGCAGCGGCACCGCAAGGUGACAGUUGUUAAAGGAGCAAUCCGCUUAAAGAGGAGCUUGCGGCAGAUUAGCUAGNGGUAAGGUAAUGGCUUACCAAGGCUUCGAUCUGUAUCCGGCCUGAGAGGGCGGUCGGACACACUGACACUGAAUAACGGGUCAGACUCCUACGGGAGGCGGCAGUCGGGAAUUUUGGCAAUGGGCGAAAGCCUGACCCAGCAACGCCGCGUGAAGGAUGAAGUAUUUCGGUAUGUAAACUUCGAAAGAAUAGGGAAGAAUCAAUGACGGUACCAUUUAUAAGGUCCGGCUAACUACGUGCCAGCCGCCGCAGU